GCCUUCGUGGUGUAGCGGUCAGCACACUCGUCGGGUAUUCGAGAGGUCGGUAGUUCGAGUCCCGGCGAGGGCA
This 73-nucleotide transfer RNA is filed under the name Stegodyphus mimosarum. It matches the Rfam family "tRNA". From Rfam's summary of the family: Transfer RNA (tRNA) molecules are approximately 80 nucleotides in length. Their secondary structure includes four short double-helical elements and three loops (D, anti-codon, and T loops). Further hydrogen bonds mediate the characteristic L-shaped molecular structure. tRNAs have two regions of fundamental functional importance: the anti-codon, which is responsible for specific mRNA codon recognition, and the 3' end, to which the tRNAs corresponding amino acid is attached (by aminoacyl-tRNA synthetases). tRNAs cope with the degeneracy of the genetic code in two manners: having more than one tRNA (with a specific anti-codon) for a particular amino acid; and 'wobble' base-pairing, i.e. permitting non-standard base-pairing at the 3rd anti-codon position. The record is from Rfam by way of RNAcentral. Lineage: Eukaryota; Metazoa; Arthropoda; Arachnida; Araneae; Eresidae.